This 209-nucleotide long non-coding RNA is filed under the name Nicotiana benthamiana. Its description in RNAcentral is "long non-coding RNA (NBEN_LNC026421)". Lineage: Eukaryota; Viridiplantae; Streptophyta; Magnoliopsida; Solanales; Solanaceae. The record is from RNAcentral.
AUUCUCUCCACUCUCAAACUCUCUCGAAGGUUCUUCGUAACCCUAGCCGUCUCCGACCCCUUUCCACUGUACUUUCACCAGAAUCCAUGGCUUCUCAGGCCAUGGAUGUCUAUACUCCCUCAUCUCCACCAUUAGACCUUGGUUGUUCGAAGCUUCGAGGCAUGACCUUGACGAUUCUCUCUCCAAUCUUCUCAGACCUUUGAUUUCAU